CUGUUUAACAAAAACAUUUUUUUAUGAGAAGGGUAAAGUAAGACCUGCCCAGUGAAGAUUUAACGGCUGCGGUAUACUAACCGUGCUAAGGUAGCAUAAUCAUUUGUUUUUUAAUUGGAAACUAGAAUGAAAGGUUUUACAAAAUUUUAAAUUAUAUUUAAUUAGAAUUGAAUUUAAAUUUUAAGUAAAAAUUCUUAAAUAAUAUAAAGGGACGAUAAGACCCUAAAAGCUUAAUAUUAAGUAUUACGUAGUAUAUUGUUAUUAUAGUUACUUGAUAUUUGUAUUUAACUGGGGUAGUGAUCUUAUUAAAUUGAGUUUAGUUAAACAAAAUGGUGAUAUGGUCCUUUAUAUAGGGAUAAAAUGAAUAAGUUACUUUAGGGAUAACAGUGUGAUAAUUACGGAAAGACCAUAUUUAUGUAAUUGAUUGCCACCUCGAUGUUGAAUUAAAAUUACAAUAUAAAGUAGAAAGU
RNAcentral lists this ribosomal RNA (470 nucleotides) under Parhyale plumicornis. Its description in RNAcentral is "partial 16S ribosomal RNA". The stretch from base 1 to 142 matches the Rfam family "Bacterial large subunit ribosomal RNA", at positions 1800 to 2007 of the family's 2925-position model. The record is from RNAcentral. Lineage: Eukaryota; Metazoa; Arthropoda; Malacostraca; Amphipoda; Hyalidae.